UACGAAGGGUGCAAGCGUUACUCGGAAUUACUGGGCGUAAAGCGUGCGUAGGUGGUUUGUUAAGUCUGCUGUGAAAGCCCCGGGCUCAACCUGGGAAUGGCAGUGGAUACUGGCAAGCUAGAGUGCGGUAGAGGGGUGUGGAAUUCCCGGUGUAGCGGUGUAAUGCGUAGAGAUCGGGAGGAACACCAGUGGCGAAGGCGGCACCCUGGACCAGCACUGACACUGAGGCACGAAAGCGUGGGGAGCAAACAGG
This 253-nucleotide ribosomal RNA is filed under the name uncultured bacterium. RNAcentral's name for it is "partial 16S ribosomal RNA". It matches the Rfam family "Bacterial small subunit ribosomal RNA", at positions 524 to 776 of the family's 1533-position model. The record is from RNAcentral.